GAUGAACGCUGGCGGCGUGCUUAACACAUGCAAGUCGAACGAAGAUGCCGGAGUGCUUGCACUUUGGCAGACUGAGUGGCGGACGGGUGAGUAACGCGUGGGUAACCUGCCUUAUACAGGGGGAUAACAGUUGGAAACGACUGCUAAUACCGCAUAAGCGCACAGUACCGCAUGGUACAGUGUGAAAAACUCCGGUGGUGUGAGAUGGACCCGCGUCUGAUUAGCUAGUUGGCAGGGCAACGGCCUACCAAGGCGACGAUCGGUAGCCGGACUGAGAGGUUGAACGGCCACAUUGGGACUGAGACACGGCCCAGACUCCUACGGGAGGCAGCAGUGGGGAAUAUUGCACAAUGGGGGAAACCCUGAUGCAGCGACGCCGCGUGGAGGAAGAAGGUCUUCGGAUUGUAAACUCCUGUUGUUGAGGAAGAUAAUGACGGUACUCAACAAGGAAGUGACGGCUAACUACGUG
RNAcentral lists this ribosomal RNA (469 nucleotides) under uncultured bacterium. Its description in RNAcentral is "bacterial SSU rRNA". It matches the Rfam family "Bacterial small subunit ribosomal RNA", at positions 28 to 507 of the family's 1533-position model. The record is from RNAcentral.